Non-coding RNA from Phoenix dactylifera (date palm), 1894 nucleotides. NCBI's taxonomy places the organism in Eukaryota, Viridiplantae, Streptophyta, Magnoliopsida, Arecales, Arecaceae. The record is from RefSeq and is a predicted model, not a curated record.
CGAUCCACUCUUCCCCCUCGCCGGUAGCCAUCGCCGGCGGUGAAGUUGCACACAAUGUGGACCUUAUCGAACACGUCCCGGGUCAUCCAACCUCUCCACCGACCCAGCGUCUUGUGCCGCUCCGUUCUCUCCACCUCCUCCUGCUCCUCAUCUCCGCCACCGUGGAUGCCGGUGUCCGUCUCGAGCAUGUUCGACUCUGUCGCUCUCCCUUUUUGUCCAAGUUCCGACGCCCUCCUCGCCGUCAGUCCGAGAUCAGGCCGCUAGUUCUACCCCGUCUGGCUCCGCCGCACUCACAUCGUCGUCUCCACCCUCUUCCCCUCUCCGCCUCCCUCUCGCCGGCACCCUCAUCGACCACAUCCAUCCACUGUGCCGGUGGUAACCGAGGAGAACGGGGCAUGAAUGGGAUGAAGGGGGACUGCUCGUUUGUUGCAGAAACUGGAAGAGCCGGUGGAAAGAAUGAGGGGCACCCUUUUUGCGUCUCUUUUCCUGCGAAAGCCGUCGCAUGCGAACUAAAAGUUCGCAAGCCCCAUACUUUUUAAGAGCCAUAUAACGGAGUUAAAGGAUAAAGAGGGGAAAGAAGCUAAAGAAGCAACAUCAAUAAAAAAAAUGGGGUUUCUCCUUCAACCUUUUCCUCUUCCCUUUCCAGCAGCGCUAUCCACAACUCCAAAAAUCCCCAAACGAACUUUUUCCCCUCCAACCGCCGCUUCGAAUCCAAAACCACCGGAUUUGAAGACUUGGGCUCACGAUUUUAGGUCCAAGUCGCUGAAAUUCGUACUCGCCGGCACUUUCGCUCUCGGAAUUUCUCUUUCUGGACUUAGUGCAGCUGAUGCCAAAGUUGGGGUCAACAAGCCAGAAUUGCUUCCUAAAGAAUUUAGUCCUGUCAUUGAUGUUGCUGGGUUUCUCUCUGCAGGCCAGGAGAAACGGCUCUUGCAAGAGAUAGAAGAUCUUGAGAAGGAUACAGGAUUUAAACUAAGAAUUCUCGCACAGAAUUAUCCUGACACUCCAGGAUUGGCUAUUAAAGACUUCUGGCAAGUUGAUGAUAGAACUAUUGUUUUUGUUGCUGAUCCAACCUUUGGCAAUAUCUUGAAUUUCAAUGUUGGUGCAUCGGUUGAUUUGGACAUACCUCGAAGUUUCUGGAGUCGCUUAUCAGGGAAGUAUGGGAACAUGUUUUACUGGAAAGAAAAGGGGGAGGAUGCAUCAGUUGAAGCUGCUGUAAUUGCAAUUUCAAAUUGCCUGAGAGAACCUGUGGGACCAAAUAACUGCUCUGAUGUAAAGUAAGGUACCUGAUGUGAACCUGAUAACUGACGAGGACAUCUACAGACCCGAUGUGGCAGUGAGGGAGGUUCCUUUGCAACUUUUCCAUCCGAGUAUUGAGCAUCUCAAAGUUAAGCUCAUGCAUGUCCAAGCACCCCUCAGUUUCUUUCAAAGUCACCAAGAGUUAUUUAUACUAGACAGGAAGAUAAUCCGCAGAGAAAGCACAUGCUUAAAUUCUUUGAUGGGACAACGGGAAAAGGGGAGGUUUCAAUCCACUGAACUUGCACAAAUGCUUCAGUAGAUGAGUCCCUGCUGAGACUGAUCUCUGGAUAAAUUAGAGGGACAUGGACUUGCCAUUCUGCUAGUCAUGCCAUGGUAACAAAGUGCAGACAUCCUUUAAGUUUUGGUUCUGGUGGAGCAUUGUCUGUCUGUUAAUGAGUACAGAGUGUGACCCAAUCUUCUGAAGGACUCUCCAAACAAUUCUCUUAUAGCUUAAUUUUUAAUUUGAAAACGAAUGACUUCCUGGUUCCCUCUCAUCUCUUUGUUCAUUUCUAAUGUUCUAUCCUUUGUGAUCUAUCCUCUUUAAGAGAAGUAUGCAUUGAUUGAAAAAACACUAGAGUGAGACCCGUUGUCCAUUUCA